UGUUAUCUGUAAUUUAAUGUGCUUUAAUUUUUUUCUCACUUGUAUAGUAAAUUUUUGUAAUUUAGUGUUUAGAAUGAUUUGCAUUGUUAUAUAUUUGAUCAGUCACUCAUACUGGAUAAACAAACAUAGAAAGGUAGAAAUGCUCAGUAUUAGUAGAAUUUCCCCUAAUUAUUCUGAAAUAUCCAUUCAUGCCGAAUAUGAAAGGAAGCCAUUGUGCAUGCAUUUAUUCAUAUAAUCAUAUAAAUUAUAAUUCAAAUUUGUGUAUAGAAUAUUCUAUUAUUAUUAGUUAUUGAGGAACUAUGUUUUAUCAAACUCAGCCAAAUACACAGUACACUAAGUUUAAUUUUAGAAACUAUUACAAUACAGAGGAUAUUGAGAAAUAUUAAUAGUAAUCAUUAAUCAUUCUUUACCUUUACACUUGUUACAUAUAUUACAGUGCACAAUAGUGUCCAAAAAAUAUUAGUCCGACUCAUAAUGUUCUGUUGCUACCAUAAACCAAUGUGAUUAUAGAAGAAUAGAUUGUGAAAUGCAAAAAAGAUCCACUGAAGUAAUAGCUCCAUAACCAAAGAAAAUUAAAAAUGAAUUUGUUUCAAUAUUCAUCUUUGCUAUAGAAAAACAUAAGUGAAAUAUGAUACACAUGAUUAAAUGCUAACUACUGUCAGUAUCUAACAGCAUUGAUCCAGUUAUAAGAUGUUAGAAAGAUAUUUCAUACCAUAUUUAAUUUAAUAAUCCAUACUAAAUACAGC
RNAcentral lists this long non-coding RNA (746 nucleotides) under Androctonus crassicauda. The record is from RNAcentral. Lineage: Eukaryota; Metazoa; Arthropoda; Arachnida; Scorpiones; Buthidae.